RNAcentral lists this ribosomal RNA (459 nucleotides) under uncultured bacterium. Its description in RNAcentral is "partial 16S ribosomal RNA". It matches the Rfam family "Bacterial small subunit ribosomal RNA", at positions 338 to 795 of the family's 1533-position model. The record is from RNAcentral.
CCUACGGGAGGCUGCAGUGAGGAAUAUUGGUCAAUGGGAGAGAUCCUGAACCAGCCAAGCCGCGUGAGGGAAGACGGCCCUCUGGGUUGUAAACCUCUUUUGUCGGAGAACAAAACCCGGGACGUGUCCCGGACUGCGUGUAUCCGAAGAAAAAGCAUCGGCUAACUCCGUGCCAGCAGCCGCGGUAAUACGGAGGAUGCGAGCGUUAUCCGGAUGUAUUGGGUUUAAAGGGUGCGUAGGCGGUCCGUUAAGUCCGCGGUAAAAUUGCGGGGCUCAAACCCGUCGAGCCGUUGAAACUGGCGGACUUGAGUUGGCGAGAAGUGCGCGGAAUGCGCGGUGUAGCGGUGAAAUGCAUAGAUAUCGCGCAGAACACCGAUUGCGAAGGCAGCGUACCGGCGCCAGACUGACGCUGAGGCACGAAAGCGUGGGGAUCGAACAGGAUUAGAUACCCCGGUAGUC